RNAcentral lists this ribosomal RNA (373 nucleotides) under uncultured eukaryote. RNAcentral's name for it is "partial 18S ribosomal RNA". It matches the Rfam family "Eukaryotic small subunit ribosomal RNA", at positions 592 to 976 of the family's 1831-position model. The record is from RNAcentral.
CAAUAGCGUAUAUUAAAGUUGUUGCAGUUAAAAAGCUCGUAGUUGAAUUUUUGCUUGCCGCCGAAGUCGGAACUUCCGUACGUUCGGCGGCGUGCAUCCUUGGGUGGAACCUGUGUGGCAUUAGGUUGUCGUGCAGGGGAUGCUCAUCGUUUACUGUGAAAAAAUUAGAGUGUUCAAAGCAGGCUUACGCCGUUGAAUAUAUUAGCAUGGAAUAAUAAGAUAGGACCUUGGUACUAUUUUGUUGGUUUGCGCACCGAGGUAAUGAUUAACAGGGACAGUUGGGGGUAUUCGUAUUCCAUUGUCAGAGGUGAAAUUCUUGGAUUUCUGGAAGACGAACUACUGCGAAAGCAUUUACCAAGGAUGUUUUCAUUAA